This 471-nucleotide ribosomal RNA is filed under the name Galkinius decimus. RNAcentral's name for it is "partial 12S ribosomal RNA". The record is from RNAcentral. Lineage: Eukaryota; Metazoa; Arthropoda; Thecostraca; Balanomorpha; Pyrgomatidae.
AGGAAUUUUUUUUAUAUUAUUAGGUAGAAUUUUUAAUAUUUAGAAAAAACAUAAAAUUUUAAAUCAUGAAAAUUAUAUUAUGGACCAGGAUUAGAUACCCUGUUACUUAUAAUAAAUAAAUUUUGGAAUAGUAAUAAUAAUGAAAUUUAACGGAUUUGGCGGCAAGAUAGCCAUUUAAAGGAACCUGCCCUAUAAACGAUGAACCACGAAAAACUUUACUUUUAUUUGUAAUCAGUUUGUAUACCGCUGUUGUCAGUCAGUUUCUUUAGAAAACUUUCUAUCAUGAAAAAAUCAUAGACUUCAAGUAAAGGUGCAGCUUAUGUAAAAGAUAGAGGUGGGUUACAUUUAUAAGAUUUUAACGGAUAAAGUUUAUGAAAUAACUUUUUAAGUUGGAUUUAAUUGUAAAGUUUAAAAAAACUUGAUGAGAGCUCUAUCUUGUGUACACACCGCCCGUCGCUCUCUUUUUUAAAC